RNAcentral lists this transfer RNA (57 nucleotides) under Chlorodesmis fastigiata. Its description in RNAcentral is "tRNA-Leu". Lineage: Eukaryota; Viridiplantae; Chlorophyta; Ulvophyceae; Bryopsidales; Halimedaceae. The record is from RNAcentral.
GGGGGUAUGGCGGAAUUGGUAGACGCUGCAGACUUGGUUCAAGUCCCUCUAUCCCCA